RNAcentral lists this ribosomal RNA (403 nucleotides) under Verrucomicrobiota bacterium. RNAcentral describes it as "Verrucomicrobia bacterium partial 16S ribosomal RNA". It matches the Rfam family "Bacterial small subunit ribosomal RNA", at positions 355 to 776 of the family's 1533-position model. The record is from RNAcentral. Lineage: Bacteria; Pseudomonadati; Verrucomicrobiota.
UGGGGAAUAUUGCACAAUGGGGGAAACCCUGAUGCAGCGACGCCGCGUGAGCGAUGAAGGCUUUCGAGUCGUAAAGCUCUGUCCUAUGGGAAGAUAAUGACGGUAUCAUAGGAGGAAGCCCCGGCUAAAUACGUGCCAGCAGCCGCGGUAAUACGUAUGGGGCGAGCGUUGUCCGGAAUUAUUGGGCGUAAAGGGUACGUAGGCGGUCUAUUAAGUCAGGUGUGAAAGCGUGAGGCUUAACCUCAUUAAGCACUUGAGACUGAUAGACUUGAGUGAAGGAGAGGAAAGUGGAAUUCCUAGUGUAGCGGUGAAAUGCGUAGAUAUUAGGAGGAAUACCGGUGGCGAAGGCGACUUUCUGGACUUUUACUGACGCUCAGGUACGAAAGCGUGGGGAGCAAACAGG